GAUGAAUGCUGGCGGCGUGCCUAAUACAUGCAAGUCGAGCGGUAACACUUCGGGUGACGAGCGGCGGACGGCAGAGUAACGCGUAGGAACGUACCCCAAACUGAGGGAUAACGCACCGAAAGGUGUGCUAAUACCGCAUGUGAUCUUCGGAUUAAAGCUUCGGCGGUUUGGGAACGGCCUGCGUAUGAUUAGCUUGUUGGUGAGGUAAUGGCUCACCAAGGCGACGAUCAUUAGCUGGUCUGAGAGGAUGAUCAGCCUGACUGGAACUGAGACACGGUCCAGACUCCUACGGGAGGCAGCAGUAGGGAAUUUUCCACAAUGGGCGAAAGCCUGAUGGAGCAACGCCGCGUGCAGGAUGAAGGCCUUCGGGUUGUAAUCUGCUUUUGUCUGUGUAGAUUAUGACGGUAGCAGACGAAUAAGGACCGGCUAACUACGUGCCAGCCGCCGCAGUAA
This 453-nucleotide ribosomal RNA is filed under the name uncultured bacterium. RNAcentral describes it as "partial 16S ribosomal RNA". It matches the Rfam family "Bacterial small subunit ribosomal RNA", at positions 28 to 523 of the family's 1533-position model. The record is from RNAcentral.